AUUGAACGCUGGCGGCAUGCCUUACACAUGCAAGUCGAACGGCAGCACGGGGGCAACCCUGGUGGCGAGUGGCGAACGGGUGAGUAACAUAUCGGAACGUGCCCUGGAGUGGGGGAGUAACUAGUCGAAAGACUAGCUAAUACCGCAUACGAUCUACGGAUGAAAGUGGGGGAUCGCAAGACCUCAUGCUCGUGGAGCGGCCGAUAUCUGAUUAGCUAGUUGGGNGGGGUAAAGGCCUACCAAGGCAUCGAUCAGUAGCUGGUCUGAGAGGACGACCAGCCACACUGGGACUGAGACACGGCCCAGACUCCUACGGGAGGCAGCAGUGGGGGAAUUUUGGACAAUGGGCGCAAGCCUGAUCCAGCAAUGCCGCGUGAGUGAAGAAGGCC
RNAcentral lists this ribosomal RNA (389 nucleotides) under uncultured bacterium. Its description in RNAcentral is "bacterial SSU rRNA". It matches the Rfam family "Bacterial small subunit ribosomal RNA", at positions 29 to 416 of the family's 1533-position model. The record is from RNAcentral.